RNAcentral lists this small RNA (119 nucleotides) under Blastococcus mobilis. RNAcentral describes it as "Blastococcus sp. DSM 44272 Actinobacteria sRNA Ms_IGR-7". It matches the Rfam family "Actinobacteria sRNA Ms_IGR-7". Lineage: Bacteria; Bacillati; Actinomycetota; Actinomycetes; Geodermatophilales; Geodermatophilaceae. The record is from Rfam by way of RNAcentral.
ACGAGAUGCCCUUCUGAACUGGCGAUACGGACCCUAAGCAAGUCGUAUCUUCCCAGGUCAGAAGGGCAUUCUCGUGUUCCUGCGCCUAUCCACCACCCUCAGCCCAUCGGUGGAUCGAG